AUUGAACGCUGGCGGCAGGCUUAACACAUGCAAGUCGAGCGGGGUGAUGGUGCUUGCACUAUCACUUAGCGGCGGACGGGUGAGUAAUGCUUAGGAAUCUGCCUAUUAGUGGGGGACAACAUCUCGAAAGGGAUGCUAAUACCGCAUACGUCCUACGGGAGAAAGCAGGGGAUCACUUGUGACCUUGCGCUAAUAGAUGAGCCUAAGUCGGAUUAGCUAGUUGGUGGGGUAAAGGCCUACCAAGGCGACGAUCUGUAGCGGGUCUGAGAGGAUGAUCCGCCAAACUGGGACUGAGACACGGCCCAGAAUCCUACGGGAGGCAGCAGUGGGGGAUAUUGGACAAUGGGGGGAACCCUGAUCCAGCCAUGCCGCGUGUGUGAAGAAGGCCUUAUGGUUGUAAAGCACUUUAAGCGAGGAGGAGGCUCUUUUGGUUAAUACCCAAGAUGAGUGGACGUUACUCGCAGAAUAAGCACCGGCUAACUCUGUGCCAGCCGCCGCUGUAA
RNAcentral lists this ribosomal RNA (503 nucleotides) under uncultured bacterium. RNAcentral describes it as "partial 16S ribosomal RNA". It matches the Rfam family "Bacterial small subunit ribosomal RNA", at positions 30 to 523 of the family's 1533-position model. The record is from RNAcentral.